Molecule: ribosomal RNA, 1728 nt
Filed under: Shigella flexneri
Lineage: Bacteria; Pseudomonadati; Pseudomonadota; Gammaproteobacteria; Enterobacterales; Enterobacteriaceae
Description: partial 23S ribosomal RNA
Rfam family: Bacterial large subunit ribosomal RNA
Source: RNAcentral
GGUUAAGCGACUAAGCGUACACGGUGGAUGCCCUGGCAGUCAGAGGCGAUGAAGGACGUGCUAAUCUGCGAUAAGCGUCGGUAAGGUGAUAUGAACCGUUAUAACCGGCGAUUUCCGAAUGGGGAAACCCAGUGUGAUUCGUCACACUAUCAUUAACUGAAUCCAUAGGUUAAUGAGGCGAACCGGGGGAACUGAAACAUCUAAGUACCCCGAGGAAAAGAAAUCAACCGAGAUUCCCCCAGUAGCGGCGAGCGAACGGGGAGCAGCCCAGAGCCUGAAUCAGUGUGUGUGUUAGUGGAAGCGUCUGGAAAGGCGUGCGAUACAGGGUGACAGCCCCGUACACAAAAAUGCACAUACUGUGAGCUCGAUGAGUAGGGCGGGACACGUGGUAUCCUGUCUGAAUAUGGGGGGACCAUCCUCCAAGGCUAAAUACUCCUGACUGACCGAUAGUGAACCAGUACCGUGAGGGAAAGGCGAAAAGAACCCCGGCGAGGGGAGUGAAAAAGAACCUGAAACCGUGUACGUACAAGCAGUGGGAGCACGCUUAGGCGUGUGACUGCGUACCUUUUGUAUAAUGGGUCAGCGACUUAUAUUCUGUAGCAAGGUUAACCGAAUAGGGGAGCCGAAGGGAAACCGAGUCUUAACUGGGCGUUAAGUUGCAGGGUAUAGACCCGAAACCCGGUGAUCUAGCCAUGGGCAGGUUGAAGGUUGGGUAACACUAACUGGAGGACCGAACCGACUAAUGUUGAAAAAUUAGCGGAUGACUUGUGGCUGGGGGUGAAAGGCCAAUCAAACCGGGAGAUAGCUGGUUCUCCCCGAAAGCUAUUUAGGUAGCGCCUCGUGAAUUCAUCUCCGGGGGUAGAGCACUGUUUCGGCAAGGGGGUCAUCCCGACUUACCAACCCGAUGCAAACUGCGAAUACCGGAGAAUGUUAUCACGGGAGACACACGGCGGGUGCUAACGUCCGUCGUGAAGAGGGAAACAACCCAGACCGCCAGCUAAGGUCCCAAAGUCAUGGUUAAGUGGGAAACGAUGUGGGAAGGCCCAGACAGCCAGGAUGUUGGCUUAGAAGCAGCCAUCAUUUAAAGAAAGCGUAAUAGCUCACUGGUCGAGUCGGCCUGCGCGGAAGAUGUAACGGGGCUAAACCAUGCACCGAAGCUGCGGCAGCGACGCUUAUGCGUUGUUGGGUAGGGGAGCGUUCUGUAAGCCUGUGAAGGUGUGCUGUGAGGUAUGCUGGAGGUAUCAGAAGUGCGAAUGCUGACAUAAGUAACGAUAAAGCGGGUGAAAAGCCCGCUCGCCGGAAGACCAAGGGUUCCUGUCCAACGUUAAUCGGGGCAGGGUGAGUCGACCCCUAAGGCGAGGCCGAAAGGCGUAGUCGAUGGGAAACAGGUUAAUAUUCCUGUACUUGGUGUUACUGCGAAGGGGGGACGGAGAAGGCUAUGUUGGCCGGGCGACGGUUGUCCCGGUUUAAGCGUGUAGGCUGGUUUUCCAGGCAAAUCCGGAAAAUCAAGGCCGAGGCGUGAUGACGAGGCACUACGGUGCUGAAGCAACAAAUGCCCUGCUUCCAGGAAAAGCCUCUAAGCAUCAGGUAACAUCAAAUCGUACCCCAAACCGACACAGGUGGUCAGGUAGAGAAUACCAAGGCGCUUGAGAGAACUCGGGUGAAGGAACUAGGCAAAAUGGUGCCGUAACUUCGGGAGAAGGCACGCUGAUACGUAGGUGAAGCGAC